RNAcentral lists this ribosomal RNA (406 nucleotides) under uncultured bacterium. RNAcentral's name for it is "bacterial SSU rRNA". It matches the Rfam family "Bacterial small subunit ribosomal RNA", at positions 28 to 434 of the family's 1533-position model. The record is from RNAcentral.
GACGAACGCUGGCGGCGUGCUUAACACAUGCAAGUCGAGCGGAAAGGCCCUUUCGGGGGUACUCGAGCGGCGAACGGGUGAGUAACACGUGAGUGAUCUGCCCUUGGCUUUGGGAUAACUACCGGAAACGGUGGCUAAUACCGGAUAUGACCAUGCUCGGCAUCGGGUGUGGUGGAAAGUUUUUUCGGCCAGGGAUGUGCUCGCGGCCUAUCAGCUUGUUGGUGGGGUAAUGGCCUACCAAGGCUUCGACGGGUAGCCGGCCUGAGAGGGUGACCGGCCACACUGGGACUGAGACACGGCCCAGACUCCUACGGGAGGCAGCAGUGGGGAAUAUUGGGACAAUGGGCGGAAGCCUGAUCCAGCAACGCCGCGUGAGGGAUGACGGCCUCGGUUGUAACGUACUUCU